GCAUCGGUGGUUCAGUGGUAGAAUGCUUCCGCCUGCCACGCGCGGGCGGCCCGCCAAGUUGAUUCCCGGCCGAUGCA
Molecule: non-coding RNA, 77 nt
Organism: Trichonephila inaurata madagascariensis
Lineage: Eukaryota; Metazoa; Arthropoda; Arachnida; Araneae; Nephilidae
Source: the annotation of a GenBank genome assembly